This 341-nucleotide ribosomal RNA is filed under the name Palola environmental sample. RNAcentral's name for it is "partial 16S ribosomal RNA". It matches the Rfam family "Bacterial large subunit ribosomal RNA", at positions 1959 to 2521 of the family's 2925-position model. Lineage: Eukaryota; Metazoa; Annelida; Polychaeta; Eunicida; Eunicidae. The record is from RNAcentral.
GCAUAAUCAUUUGCCCCUUAAUUAGGGGCUAGCAUGAAUGGACAAACGAGAUUAUACCUGUCUCCUCUAUACCUAUAAAAAUUAAUCUACAGGUGAAGAAGCCUGUAUUCUUAUAAAAGACAAGAAGACCCUGUCGAGCUUUAAUUAUUUAUAAUAUAACGCAAUAUCUAUGCCCCCUCUUAUAAAUAAUCUUUGUUGGGGCGACAAUGGAGCAUAAAAACCCUCCACUACAAUCUAGACAACAAGUCACCCAAAAAAUCCCCAAAAGGAACCUGGAACUAGCUACCGCAGGGAUAACAGACUAAUCUUCCUCAAGAGCCCAAAUCUACAGGAAGGCUUGG